This 253-nucleotide ribosomal RNA is filed under the name uncultured bacterium. Its description in RNAcentral is "partial 16S ribosomal RNA". It matches the Rfam family "Bacterial small subunit ribosomal RNA", at positions 524 to 776 of the family's 1533-position model. The record is from RNAcentral.
UACGUAGGGGGCAAGCGUUGUCCGGAUUUAUUGGGCGUAAAGAGCGUGUAGGCGGCUUUACAGGUCCGUUGUGAAAACUCGAGGCUUAACCUCGAGACGCCGGUGGAAACCGUAAAGCCAGAGUCCGGAAGAGGAGAGUGGAAUUCCUGGUGUAGCGGUGAAAUGCGCAGAUAUCAGGAGGAACACCCGUGGCGAAAGCGGCUCUCUGGGACGGUACUGACGCUGAGACGCGAAAGCGUGGGGAGCGAACAGG